UGAGGAAUAUUGGUCAAUGGGCGAGAGCCUGAACCAGCCAAAUCGCGUGAAGGAAGACUGCCUUAUGGGUUGUAAACUUCUUUUAUACAGGAAUAAAAAACGGGGACGUGUCCCCUUAUUGCAUGUACUGUAUGAAUAAGCAUCGGCUAACUCCGUGCCAGCAGCCCGGUAAUACGGAGGAUGCGAGCGUUAUCCGGAUUUAUUGGGUUUAAAGGGUGCGCAGGCGGGCUUUUAAGUCAGCGGUGAAAUCUCGGGCUUAACUCCGAAACUGCCGUUGAAACUGGGAGUCUUGAGUAUGGAUGAAGUAGGCGGAAUUCGUUGUGUAGCGGUGACAUGCUUAGAUAUAACGAGGAACUCCGGAUUGCGUAGGCAGCUUACUAAGCCAUAACUGACGCUCAAGCACGAAAGCGUGGGGAUC
This 418-nucleotide ribosomal RNA is filed under the name uncultured bacterium. RNAcentral's name for it is "partial 16S ribosomal RNA". It matches the Rfam family "Bacterial small subunit ribosomal RNA", at positions 355 to 769 of the family's 1533-position model. The record is from RNAcentral.